CCUACGGGUGGCAGCAGUGGGGGAUAUUGCACAAUGGGGGGAACCCUGAUGCAGCGACGCCGCGUGGGUGAAGGAGCGUUUCGGCGCGUAAAGCCCUAUCGGCAGGGAAGAAGAUGACGGUACCUGGCCAAGAAGCCCCGGCUAACUACGUGCCAGCAGCCGCGGUAAUACGUAGGGGGCAAGCGUUAUCCGGAUUUACUGGGUGUAAAGGGGGCGCAGACGGCAAUGCAAGCCAGGAGUGAAAGCCCGGGGCCCAACCCCGGGACUGCUCUUGGAACUGCAUGGCUGGAGUACAGGAGGGGCAGGCGGAAUUCCUAGUGUAGCGGUGAAAUGCGUAGAUAUCGCGCAGAACUCCGAUUGCGAAGGCAGCGUACCGGCGCCAGACUGACGCUGAGGCACGAAAGCGUGGGGAUCGAACAGGAUUAGAUACCCGAGUAGUC
This 440-nucleotide ribosomal RNA is filed under the name uncultured bacterium. Its description in RNAcentral is "partial 16S ribosomal RNA". It matches the Rfam family "Bacterial small subunit ribosomal RNA", at positions 338 to 795 of the family's 1533-position model. The record is from RNAcentral.